This 374-nucleotide long non-coding RNA is filed under the name Mytilus galloprovincialis (Mediterranean mussel). The record is from RNAcentral. Lineage: Eukaryota; Metazoa; Mollusca; Bivalvia; Mytilida; Mytilidae.
CCCGUACUUAAUCCUAUUGAUUUUUAAUCACUGGUAAACCAAACCAUGACACGGUAAUUAACAACUUGCAGUUAUUUUCCAUUAACAGUUUUAAUCAAUUUUAAAAAGUAAAUUAUCACUGAUAUUAGAUAUAUUUAUUAUAGAUGUAAUCAAAAGGCUUGUAUCUUCUUUCAAUAAAAAACACGUGUUAUGUUACAAUGUUUAUCGCUAGUCAACACUAUGCUAGAACUGCAUAACAUAACCGGAAAUAAACAUCCGACUCAAUACACAUUUCUCGGGAUUAUUCUUCGUUGAAUUCUUAAAUUCGUGGUUCGCUGUUACCCACGAAAUCCACGAAAAUUAGUAUACCACGAAUAAAAAUGAAUCCACAGUAA